RNAcentral lists this ribosomal RNA (433 nucleotides) under uncultured bacterium. RNAcentral describes it as "partial 16S ribosomal RNA". It matches the Rfam family "Bacterial small subunit ribosomal RNA", at positions 29 to 507 of the family's 1533-position model. The record is from RNAcentral.
AGCGAACGCUGGCGGCAGGCCUAACACAUGCAAGUCGAACGAACUCUUCGGAGUUAGUGGCGGACGGGUGUGUAACACGUGGGAACGUGCCUUUUGGUUCGGAAUAACUCAGGGAAACUUGUGCUAAUACCGAAUGUUCCCUUCUGGGGAAAGAUUUAUCGCCAUUAGAGCGGCCCGCGUCUGAUUAGCUAGUUGGUUAGGUAAUGGCUCACCAAGGCGACGAUCAGUAGCUGGUCUGAGAGGAUGACCAGCCACACUGGGACUGAGACACGGCCCAGACUCCUACGGGAGGCAGGAGUGGGGAAUCUUGCACAAUGGGCGAAAGCCUGACGCAGCCAUGCCGCGUGAAUGAUGAAGGUCUUAGGAUUGUAAAGUUCUUUCACCGGGGAAGAUAAUGACGGUACCCGGAGAAGAAGCCCCGGCUAACUUCGUG